Molecule: ribosomal RNA, 748 nt
Filed under: Leuconostoc mesenteroides
Lineage: Bacteria; Bacillati; Bacillota; Bacilli; Lactobacillales; Lactobacillaceae
Description: bacterial SSU rRNA
Rfam family: Bacterial small subunit ribosomal RNA
Source: RNAcentral
UCGACGCACAGCGAAAGGUGCUUGCACCUUUCAAGUGAGUGGCGAACGGGUGAGUAACACGUGGACAACCUGCCUCAAGGCUGGGGAUAACAUUUGGAAACAGAUGCUAAUACCGAAUAAAACUUAGUGUCGCAUGACAAAAAGUUAAAAGGCGCUUCGGCGUCACCUAGAGAUGGAUCCGCGGUGCAUUAGUUAGUUGGUGGGGUAAAGGCCUACCAAGACAAUGAUGCAUAGCCGAGUUGAGAGACUGAUCGGCCACAUUGGGACUGAGACACGGCCCAAACUCCUACGGGAGGCUGCAGUAGGGAAUCUUCCACAAUGGGCGAAAGCCUGAUGGAGCAACGCCGCGUGUGUGAUGAAGGCUUUCGGGUCGUAAAGCACUGUUGUAUGGGAAGAACAGCUAGAAUAGGAAAUGAUUUUAGUUUGACGGUACCAUACCAGAAAGGGACGGCCAAAUACGUGCCAGCAGCCGCGGUAAUACGUAUGUCCCGAGCGUUAUCCGGAUUUAUUGGGCGUAAAGCGAGCGCAGACGGUUUAUUAAGUCUGAUGUGAAAGCCCGGAGCUCAACUCCGGAAUGGCAUUGGAAACUGGUUAACUUGAGUGCAGUAGAGGUAAGUGGAACUCCAUGUGUAGCGGUGGAAUGCGUAGAUAUAUGGAAGAACACCAGUGGCGAANGCGGCUUACUGGACUGCAACUGACGUUGAGGCUCGAAAGUGUGGGUAGCAAACAGGAUUAGAUACCCUGGUAG